GACGUAGGGGGCAAGCGUUGUUCGGAAUUAUUGGGCGUAAAGCGCUCGUAGGCGGGACUGGAAGUCCGUGUUGAAAGACCUCGGCUCAACUGAGGGACCGGCUCGGAUACUCUAGUUCUUGAGGCAAUCAGAGGGUGAUGGAAUUCCCGGUGUAGCGGUGAAAUGCGUAGAGAUCCGGAGGAAGACCGGUGGCGAAGGCGGUCUGCUGGGCAGUUUCUGACACUGAGGCGCGACAGCGUGGGGAGCAAACAGG
RNAcentral lists this ribosomal RNA (253 nucleotides) under uncultured bacterium. RNAcentral describes it as "partial 16S ribosomal RNA". It matches the Rfam family "Bacterial small subunit ribosomal RNA", at positions 524 to 776 of the family's 1533-position model. The record is from RNAcentral.